This 354-nucleotide ribosomal RNA is filed under the name Pyrinomonadaceae bacterium. Its description in RNAcentral is "bacterial SSU rRNA". It matches the Rfam family "Bacterial small subunit ribosomal RNA", at positions 1 to 349 of the family's 1533-position model. Lineage: Bacteria; Pseudomonadati; Acidobacteriota; Blastocatellia; Blastocatellales; Pyrinomonadaceae. The record is from RNAcentral.
AUUAACGAGAGUUUGAUCCUGGCUCAGAAUCAACGCUGGCGGCGUGCCUCAGACAUGCAAGUCGAACGAUUAAAGCUCUCUUCGGAGAGUGUAUAGAGUGGCGCACGGGUGAGUAACACGUAAGUAAUCUACCUUUGAGUGGGGAAUAACAGUCGGAAACGACUGCUAAUACCGCAUAAUGCAGCGGCACCGCAAGGUGACAGUUGUUAAAGGAGCAAUCCGCUUAAAGAGGAGCUUGCGGCAGAUUAGCUAGUUGGUAAGGUAAUGGCUUACCAAGGCUACGAUCUGUAACCGGUCUUAGAGGACGGUCGGUCACACUGACACUGAAUAACGGGUCAGACUCCUACGGGAGGC